CAGAACAGCAUACUACUUACUAAUAUAGCAAUCCUCCCGCAAGGUACGGGCACACAGCGGAACCGAAGGGAAGAGACGAAGGGCUUCUUUCACAACACACUCAAGGUACCAAAGCUUCUUCAAAUCCUCCAUCGUGACAGGACGCUCACUGUUACC
Struthio camelus australis is the source of this 156-nucleotide non-coding RNA. The record is from RefSeq and is a predicted model, not a curated record. NCBI's taxonomy places the organism in Eukaryota, Metazoa, Chordata, Aves, Struthioniformes, Struthionidae.